RNAcentral lists this ribosomal RNA (492 nucleotides) under uncultured bacterium. Its description in RNAcentral is "partial 16S ribosomal RNA". It matches the Rfam family "Bacterial small subunit ribosomal RNA", at positions 29 to 507 of the family's 1533-position model. The record is from RNAcentral.
AGUGAACGCUGGCGGUAGGCCUAACACAUGCAAGUCGAACGGCAGCACAGUAAGAGCUUGCUCUUACGGGUGGCGAGUGGCGGACGGGUGAGGAAUACAUCGGAAUCUACUUUUUCGUGGGGGAUAACGUAGGGAAACUUCCGCUAAUACCGCAUACGACCUACGGGUGAAAGCAGGGGAUCUUCGGACCUUGCGCGAUUGAAUGAGCCGAUGUCGGAUUAGCUAGUUGGCGGGGUAAAGGCCCACCAAGGCGACGAUCCGUAGCUGGUCUGAGAGGAUGAUCAGCCACACUGGAACUGAGACACGGUCCAGACUCCUACGGGAGGCAGCAGUGGGGAAUAUUCGACAAUGGGCGCAAGCCUGAUCCAGCCAUGCCGCGUGGGUGAAGAAGGCCUUCGGGUUGUAAAGCCCUGUUGUUGGGAAAGAAAAGCAGCAGGUUAAUACCCCGCUGUUCUGACGGUACCCAAAGAAUAAGCACCGGCUAACUUCGUG